Molecule: long non-coding RNA, 814 nt
Filed under: Olea europaea subsp. europaea
Lineage: Eukaryota; Viridiplantae; Streptophyta; Magnoliopsida; Lamiales; Oleaceae
Source: RNAcentral
CAAAAACUAGACAUCAAUUCAAUAUUUUAAUUCUAAUAAUAAUAUUAUUAAAUACAAUUAAUCUACCACAUCCUAUCCGCAAACCCUCAUUCAUUUACACAAAUCUCUCUUUACCCACUUCAUUCUCCACCACCUCUUCUUCACUCAUUCAUCUUCGACGGCUCUACAUAACUAGCAAUGAUGCAGCGAUGCCCUUGCACCCGAUAGGCGAUGCCUAGUGCCAUUGCAGUUCGUGUGCAGCAGCAACGAGGAGCGAUGUGACUAAUAACUUGUGAUCUAAAAAUAUGAGUCGUGAUUUACAAAGCAAAGAAUUUCAAAGAACUAAAUUACAAAUAUCUAAAAGUUGGUUUAUCAAGAAACAAUGAUUGAAGAUUACACAAAGUCAAUUGGAUGAAAUUAAAAGAUGAAGAAUGGAAACGGUACGAAAAAAUGACUCAAGAUGCACAAAAUACAAAAGCAGGAGUCAAAACGAACAUACCUCAAAAUGUGCACUCAAUUACAGCCAAAAGGGCGCUUGAGCACAUUUUCCAGAACUUGAGCACUCGAUGACCACUAAGAAGGAGCUCAAGCGCCUCGUCUAGCAAGGCGCACUUUUCUUUUUGGACUCAAACACCUUUUUGAAUUUCAACUCUUAUAUAUAUAGAACACCAUCAAAAAUACAUAACAAAAUUCACCCCUUAUUUAUACAGAACACCAUAAAAAAUAUAGAACAAAAUUCAACCCUUAUAUAUACAGAACACCAUCAAAAAUAAAAGAACACCUUUCAUAUCAUAUAAUACACAAAAUCUUGCAAUUAAAAGAAGGCCAGUUCAUC